RNAcentral lists this ribosomal RNA (497 nucleotides) under uncultured bacterium. RNAcentral describes it as "partial 16S ribosomal RNA". It matches the Rfam family "Bacterial small subunit ribosomal RNA", at positions 28 to 507 of the family's 1533-position model. The record is from RNAcentral.
GAUGAACGCUGGCGGCGUGCCUAAUACAUGCAAGUCGAGCGAACAGACGAGGAGCUUGCUCCUCUGACGUUAGCGGCGGACGGGUGAGUAACACGUGGAUAACCUACCUAUAAGACUGGGAUAACUUCGGGAAACCGGAGCUAAUACCGGAUAAUAUAUUGAACCGCAUGGUUCAAUAGUGAAAGACGGUUUUGCUGUCACUUAUAGAUGGAUCCGCGCCGCAUUAGCUAGUUGGUAAGGUAACGGCUUACCAAGGCGACGAUGCGUAGCCGACCUGAGAGGGUGAUCGGCCACACUGGAACUGAGACACGGUCCAGACUCCUACGGGAGGCAGCAGUAGGGAAUCUUCCGCAAAGGGCGAAAGCCUGACGGAGCAACGCCGCGUGAGUGAUGAAGGUCUUCGGAUCGUAAAUCUCUGUUAUUAGGGAAGAACAAAUGUGUAAGUAACUAUGCACGUCUUGACGGUACCUAAUCAGAAAGCCACGGCUAACUACGUG